AUGAAGAACGCAGUGAAAUGCGAUACUUGGUGUGAAUUGCAGAAUCCCGUGAACCAUCGAGUCUUUGAACGCAAGUUGCGCCCGAAGCCAUCAGGUUGAGGGCACGUCUGCCUGGGCGUCACAUAUCGUUGCCCAAUGCCUAUUGCAGUGCAAUAGGAAUUUCUAGGGCGAAUGAUGGCUUCCCGUGAGCGUUGUUGCCUCGCGGUUGGUUGAAAAUCGAGUCCUUGGUAGGGUGUGCCAUGGUAGAUGGUGGUCGAGUUAGAACGAUACCGAUCAUGUGCAUGCUCCCCAAAAUAUGGCCUCUAUGACCCACACGCGUCUUUUGACGCUCAUGACGAGACCUCAGGUCAGGCGGGGCUACCCGCUGAAUUUAAGCAUAUCAAUAAGCGGAGGA
Molecule: unclassified non-coding RNA, 394 nt
Filed under: soil metagenome
Description: partial contains 5.8S ribosomal RNA, internal transcribed spacer 2, and large subunit ribosomal RNA
Rfam family: 5.8S ribosomal RNA (bases 1-121)
Source: RNAcentral